This 666-nucleotide ribosomal RNA is filed under the name Microbacterium sp. Its description in RNAcentral is "bacterial SSU rRNA". It matches the Rfam family "Bacterial small subunit ribosomal RNA", at positions 69 to 747 of the family's 1533-position model. Lineage: Bacteria; Bacillati; Actinomycetota; Actinomycetes; Micrococcales; Microbacteriaceae. The record is from RNAcentral.
AUGAAGCCCAGCUUGCUGGGUGGAUUAGUGGCGAACGGGUGAGUAACACGUGAGCAACCUGCCCCUGACUCUGGGAUAAGCGCUGGAAACGGCGUCUAAUACUGGAUAUGUCCCGUCACCGCAUGGUGUGCGGGUGGAAAGAUUUUUCGGUUGGGGAUGGGCUCGCGGCCUAUCAGCUUGUUGGUGAGGUAAUGGCUCACCAAGGCGUCGACGGGUAGCCGGCCUGAGAGGGUGACCGGCCACACUGGGACUGAGACACGGCCCAGACUCCUACGGGAGGCAGCAGUGGGGAAUAUUGCACAAUGGGCGGAAGCCUGAUGCAGCAACGCCGCGUGAGGGAUGACGGCCUUCGGGUUGUAAACCUCUUUUAGCAGGGAAGAAGCGAGAGUGACGGUACCUGCAGAAAAAGCACCGGCUAACUACGUGCCAGCAGCCGCGGUAAUACGUAGGGUGCAAGCGUUAUCCGGAAUUAUUGGGCGUAAAGAGCUCGUAGGCGGUCUGUCGCGUCUGCUGUGAAAUCCCGAGGCUCAACCUCGGGCUUGCAGUGGGUACGGGCAGACUAGAGUGCGGUAGGGGAGAUUGGAAUUCCUGGUGUAGCGGUGGAAUGCGCAGAUAUCAGGAGGAACACCGAUGGCGAAGGCAGAUCUCUGGGCCGUAACUGACGCU